This is a long non-coding RNA of Mercenaria mercenaria, 731 nucleotides long. RefSeq lists it as uncharacterized. Lineage: Eukaryota; Metazoa; Mollusca; Bivalvia; Venerida; Veneridae. The transcript is spliced from 4 exons. The record is from RefSeq and is a predicted model, not a curated record.
GAACCCUUUUACAUACAGUCAAAUAUUCUUGAUAUUGCAAGGAAAUAUAAUGCAUUUUUCAAGUGCUUGCUGUUUCUUAUGUUUUGCAUACUUGAUUUAGGUCAUUGUCAAUGUCAACUAUCAUUAUACUGACAUUUGAAGUUGUUGUUAUUUUCUAAAUUACCUCCCUUAUAUAUGCAUUUUUCUUCAUUCAUUUUAUUGAUAAUUACUUCCCUUUAUGUUUAGCAAAAAUUCUCAGAUUGCAUUUAAUUAACUCCCUUUAUUUAACAUGAAAAAAUUCUCUUGUGUAAUGAUUAUUUGUAUGUUUUACUUACAGUGCCUGAUACAUGUAGUUGCAGUCUGUCUUUGGAAGCUGUAGAAAUAACAAGAAAGAGGCUGACAUAGUGUUUUGGUAGGGAAAAGUUGUUUGAGUAUGUAAAUGUACAGUUGUUUGACCUGUCUUACCCUGUGGCAGUCCAAGAAGAUGUUACCAUUAUGAAAAAUGCAGGAGAACUUGAAGACAAUUGUUAGUGCAGAAGGGACAUAAAAGUUAUGACAAAAGUAACAGAUAUAAAUAAGAAGUGCUACAAGUGUGUUGUCAUGUGAAAUGGAAUUUACCCCAAUUGUGCUGCAAGAUGUAUAUUCAAGUGCAAGACAGCCCUGCACCAGCUGUAAACUGAGAUGGACCCAUAUAAUAAAUAUGUUGACUUUUCUAUGUAUUAUCAUCUGUACAGAAUGUUUUUCAUGACAAG